Molecule: ribosomal RNA, 253 nt
Filed under: uncultured bacterium
Lineage: Bacteria
Description: partial 16S ribosomal RNA
Rfam family: Bacterial small subunit ribosomal RNA
Source: RNAcentral
UACGUAGGGGGCAAGCGUUGUCCGGAUUUAUUGGGCGUAAAGCGCUCGCAGGCGGACCUGCAAGUCGGGGGUGAAAGCCCGAGGCUCAACCUCGGAACUGCCUUCGAUACUGCGGGUCUCGAGUCCGAGAGAGGCGAGUGGAAUUCCGAGUGUAGAGGUGAAAUUCGUAGAUAUUCGGAGGAACACCAGUGGCGAAGGCGGCUCGCUGGCUCGAUACUGACGCUGAGGUGCGAAAGCGUGGGGAGCAAACAGG